CCAGUCGGGCCAGUCCGCAGUCAGGUCGUCCGGGAAAGGGGCCAUGCCAAAAUCAUCGUCCAGCAAGCGGGUAGACAGGCCUGACUCCCUGAAAGGGUCUCUCCUCAGGCGGGAAGAAGGGUAGGUGCAAGAAAAAGGCAUUUGGCCAUCGGCCAUGGCUGCGGGCCUGGGUCAGGGCAGAGUGGCCCCCCUCCGACUCCCAAACAGUGGCAAGAGCCUUAGCUGGGCACUAUGGGCCCAGGACAGCAGUUAACAGUUGAGUCUUCUGGCCCUGCCUCUGGCUCCCUGUGUGGCUUCUCAGCAAAUAACCAUCCAAGGCCCCUCCCCAAAACCAGAGUCCACCCUCAGAGAGGCUGCUUCAGCCCUGGGGGGAGGAUACGGAUGCCAAACCGGAGCGACAGGAAUCCCUCCAGAUAUGCCCUCCCCUUGCCAAAACUCUCCAAGGGCUUUAAACCCAGGCAAGUGAAGGUGGAUAGAGGGAGGGGAGAGACCAGCGAGUGCCCAGUGGCUUGCAGAUGGCAGAAGUGCCCAGCCCCCCCCUUCAGACCUCGGGGUGGAUUCUCUCUGGAGACCAGGCAGGCAAGCAGAGGGACACACACAAUGAGGGAUAAUUAG
This 615-nucleotide long non-coding RNA is filed under the name Phascolarctos cinereus (koala). Its description in RNAcentral is "lncRNA (ENSPCIG00000029647.2)". The record is from RNAcentral. Lineage: Eukaryota; Metazoa; Chordata; Mammalia; Diprotodontia; Phascolarctidae.